UGCAUCGGCCGGGAAUCGAACCCGGGCCGGCCGCGUGGCAGGCGAGCAUUCUACCACUGAGUCACCGAUGC
This 71-nucleotide transfer RNA is filed under the name Cordylochernes scorpioides. RNAcentral describes it as "tRNA-Gly". The record is from RNAcentral. Lineage: Eukaryota; Metazoa; Arthropoda; Arachnida; Pseudoscorpiones; Chernetidae.